Molecule: small nuclear RNA, 104 nt
Organism: Volvox carteri f. nagariensis
Lineage: Eukaryota; Viridiplantae; Chlorophyta; Chlorophyceae; Chlamydomonadales; Volvocaceae
Source: Rfam
GUGCUUCGGCACAAAUGUUAGAAUUGGAAAAAUACAGAGAAGGGUACCAUGGCCCCUGCACAAGGAUGACACGCACAAAUCGAGAGAUAUGGUUCCAAGUUUUA